CAGGGAUUGCCCUAGUAACGGCGAGUGAAGCGGCAAUAGCUCAAAUUUGAAAGCUGGCCUUCGGGUCCGCAUUGUAAUUUGUAGAGGAUGCUUUGGGGUGGCCGCCUGUCUAAGUUCCUUGGAACAGGACGUCAUAGAGGGUGAGAAUCCCGUAUGUGACAGGAAAUGGCGCCCUAUGUAAAGCUCCUUCGACGAGUCGAGUUGUUUGGGAAUGCAGCUCUAAAUGGGAGGUAAAUUUCUUCUAAAGCUAAAUACUGGCGAGAGACCGAUAGCGCACAAGUAGAGUGAUCGAAAGAUGAAAAGCACUUUGGAAAGAGAGUUAAAAAGCACGUGAAAUUGUUGAAAGGGAAGGGCUUGCAAUCAGACUUGUCCAAACCGUUCGGCCGGUCUUCUGACCGGUUUACUCGGUUUGGACAGGCCAGCAUCAGUUUCGGCGGCCGGAUAAAGGCUCUGGGAAUGUGGCCUCCACUUCGGUGGAGGUGUUAUAGCCCAGUGUGUAAUACGGCCAGCCGGGACUGAGGUCCGCGCUUCGGCUAGGAUGCUGGCGUAAUGGUUGUAAGCCACCCGUCUUGAAACACGGACCAAGGAGUCUAACAUCUAUGCGAGUGUUCGGGUGUCAAACCCCUGCGCGUAAUGAAAGUGAACGGAGGUGGGAACCCGCAAGGGUGCACCAUCGACCGAUCCUGAUGUCUUCGGAUGGAUUUGAGUAAGAGCAUAGCUGUUGGGACCCGAAAGAUGGUGAACUAUGCCUGAAUAGGGUGAAGCCAGAGGAAACUCUGGUGGAGGCUCGCAGCGGUUCUGACGUGCAAAUCGAUCGUCAAAUUUGGGUAUAGG
RNAcentral lists this ribosomal RNA (834 nucleotides) under Aureobasidium sp. RNAcentral's name for it is "partial large subunit ribosomal RNA". It matches the Rfam family "Eukaryotic large subunit ribosomal RNA", at positions 69 to 921 of the family's 3401-position model. Lineage: Eukaryota; Fungi; Ascomycota; Dothideomycetes; Dothideales; Saccotheciaceae. The record is from RNAcentral.